GUAAGGAUCAUUAUCGUGAAACAUUUCAUCACAUCAGCAAACAAGUCCUCGUCGUCUGUCUCUGAGCAGCGAGUGGCGGCAAUACUUUCGGGUAUUGUGACGGUGCUAUAUCAACUAAAAUUCAGUGGCUGUAGUGGGCCGAUUAUGCUGAACUUAGUUGGCACCUGGAACUGUGAGGCUUCAUCUUUGGGGUGCCCGAUUGCCUAUCAUUCGAUAGGAUAGACGUCUGCAAUUAUGCCUCGAUGUCUAUGGGCCGUAAGGACACAAUGUCUACACUAACAUUUGUCGCCCCAAACUCUAUUUGUUUGUUAUUAACAAUUUAAUUUAGAAUUUACCAAAAUGUAUACUUUGUUUAAUUAUUAAAUAAUCACUCUGAGCGGUGGAUCACUCGGCUCGCGAAUCGAUGAAGAGCGCAGCAAAGCGCGAUAACUAUUGCGAACUGCAGGAUAUACUGAGCAGCAAUAACUUGAACGCAAAUGGCGGCUUCGGGUAUUCCUGGAGCCACGUUCGCCUGAGGGUCGACAAUUGAUAUAAAAAUAUUAACAUGCAACGUUUUUGCUUGUUGUCAUUUAGACCAUCGCAUUUAGUUUCACAACUUAAUGCGGUCUCAAGUUGAAUAAUUUCACUAAUUUAGUGUAUUUGCUAACCGUUUUAACAGUUAGAUCCAAUAUACUUAUUAUUCUCUAUCAACGACCUCAGACGAGCGGGACUGCCCGCUGAAUUUAAGCAUAUCACUAAGCGGAGAAAAAGAAAAUAACAAUGAUUCCUAAAGUAACGGCGAGUGAAAUAGGAAAAGCCCAUAGCCGAAUUCUGCUGUCCUCGAUGGCAGCUAGAAGUUGUGGCGUUGGGAACUGCCUACUGUAACCGAUCGGCCGGGCUACGCGACUCCUCUUGAUUGUGGUUUGCCCAUAGCAGGUGAAAGGCCUAUUGGUCGUAGCCUCGUGUUGAAGGCCGGCGGUGAUGGCAGUCCUUAGAGUCGGGUUGUUUGGGAUUGCAGCCCGAAGUAGGUGGUAAACUCCACCUAAGGCUAAAUACGAUCGCGAGUCCGAUAGCGAACAAGUACCGUGAGGGACAGUUGAAAAGAACUUUGAAGAGAGAGUUCAAAGUACGUGAAACCGUUCAGAGGUAAACGGAUAGAAAGUCGAAUUGAAGGUUGACAAUCAAGCCGUUGGCUAAGUCAGAGUUGGGCUGGUAGCACGUUAAAGGUUACCGGUUUGCUCAUAGGCUGGCUACGGUUGUAUUUGUUGGCUUUGGAUCGCCGCGACGGUAGUGACUGACCGGCUGGCGUCUGUCCCUCUGGUUGAUGUAGAUCCGUUUGGGUCUUUCAACAUUGGCACAUGAGCAGGCGUCCCGCGUACAUGGCACAACCGAUAUUACACAGCGAUUUAAGCGUUCCAACUGGCUGUCGUUCGUCUUGUACUGGUAGGCUGAACUUAAACAAGCUCGACUAUUGGCAUCAGGGCGGCGGCAGUUGGCUUAAAGACGGAACAAGGAUCGCAUUGGCGGCGUUUGACUACGAAUUAUCUAUCUGACCCGUCUUGAAACACGGACCAAGGAGUCUAACCUAUGCGCGAGCCAUUGGGAUUUAUUACAAACCCAAAGGCAAAGUGAAAGCAAGAAUGGUGAGAUCAGUCGUUUAUUUGUUAAGAAUAGCGGCGGCGCAUCAUCGUCACGCCUCAAUUCGGCUUCGGCUGUAGAGGCGCAGACUGAGCGCACAAGUUGGGACCCGAAAGAUGGUGAACUAUGCGAGGCGAGGUCGAAGCCAGAGGAAACUCUGGUGGAGGACUGUAGCGGUUCUAACGUGCAAAUUGAUCGUCGCAGCUUCGUAUAGGGGCGAAAGACUAAUCGAACCAUCUAGUAGCUGGUUCCCUC
RNAcentral lists this unclassified non-coding RNA (1872 nucleotides) under uncultured fungus. Its description in RNAcentral is "sequence contains 18S rRNA gene, ITS1, 5.8S rRNA gene, ITS2, 28S rRNA gene". The stretch from base 691 to 1872 matches the Rfam family "Eukaryotic large subunit ribosomal RNA", at positions 1 to 961 of the family's 3401-position model. The record is from RNAcentral. Lineage: Eukaryota; Fungi.